Molecule: ribosomal RNA, 459 nt
Filed under: uncultured bacterium
Lineage: Bacteria
Description: partial 16S ribosomal RNA
Rfam family: Bacterial small subunit ribosomal RNA
Source: RNAcentral
CCUACGGGAGGCAGCAGUGAGGAAUAUUGGUCAAUGGGCGGGAGCCUGAACCAGCCAAGUAGCGUGCGGGAUGAAGGUCCAGCGUAUCGUAAACCUCUUUUGUCAGGGAAUAACGCCCGGCACGUGUCGCCGUCUGCAUGUACCUUACGAAAAAGCACCGGCUAAUUCCGUGCCAGCAGCCGCGGUAAUACGGAGGGCGCGAGCGUUAUCCGGAUUCAUUGGGCUUAAAGGGUGCGCAGGCGGGCGUUUAAGUCAGCGGUAAAAGCCCGCGGCUCAACCCCGACCCGCAGUUGAAACUGGCAGUCUCGAGUUGGAAAGAGGCAGGCGGAAUGCGCGGUGUAGCGGUGAAAUGCAUAGAUAUCGCGAGGAACUCCGAUUGCGAAGGCAGCAUGCCGGGGCGAGACUGAUGCUGAGGCACGAAGGCGUGGGUAUCGAACAGGAUUAGAUACCCUUGUAGUC